Molecule: ribosomal RNA, 460 nt
Filed under: uncultured bacterium
Lineage: Bacteria
Description: partial 16S ribosomal RNA
Rfam family: Bacterial small subunit ribosomal RNA
Source: RNAcentral
CCUACGGGUGGCAGCAGUGAGGAAUAUUGGUCAAUGGGCGCAAGCCUGAACCAGCCAAGUAGCGUGAAGGAUGACUGCCCUACGGGUUGUAAACUGCUUUUAUACAGGAAUAAAGUGAGGUACGUGUGCCUUUUUGUAUGUACUUUAUGAAUAAGGAUCGGCUAACUCCGUGCCAGCAGCCGCGGUAAUACGGAGGGUCCGGGCGUUAUCCGGAUUUAUUGGGUUUAAAGGGAGCGUAGAUGGGUUGUUAAGUCAGUUGUGAAAGUUUGGGGCUCAACCCGAAAAUUGCAGUGGAUACUGGCAGUCGUGAGUACAGUUGAGGCAGGCGGAAUUCGUGGUGUAGCGGUGAAAUGCUUAGAUAUGACGAAGAACUCCGAUUGCGAAGGCAGCUUACUAAACUGCCACUGACAUUGAUGCUCGAAAGUGUGGGUAUCGAACAGGAUUAGAUACCCUUGUAGUC